Molecule: ribosomal RNA, 253 nt
Filed under: uncultured bacterium
Lineage: Bacteria
Description: partial 16S ribosomal RNA
Rfam family: Bacterial small subunit ribosomal RNA
Source: RNAcentral
UACGGGGGGGGCAAGCGUUGUUCGGAAUUACUGGGCGUAAAGGGCUCGUAGGCGGCCAACUAAGUCGGACGUGAAAUCCCCAGGCUCAACCUAGGAACUGCGUCUGAUACUGGAUGGCUUGAAUCCGGGAGAGGGAUGCAGAAUUCCAGGUGUAGCGGUGAAAUGCGUAGAUAUCUGGAGGAAUACCGGUGGCGAAGGCGGCAUCCUGGACCGGCAUUGACGCUGAGGAGCGAAAGCCAGGGGAGCAAACGGG